RNAcentral lists this ribosomal RNA (420 nucleotides) under bacterium enrichment culture clone ALO1_GLFRUDD03F2EE7. Its description in RNAcentral is "bacterial SSU rRNA". It matches the Rfam family "Bacterial small subunit ribosomal RNA", at positions 9 to 430 of the family's 1533-position model. The record is from RNAcentral.
GAGUUUGAUCAUGGCUCAGAUUGAACGCUGGUGGCAUGCCUUACACAUGCAAGUCGAACGGCAGCACGGGAGCUUGCUCCUGGUGGCGAGUGGCGAACGGGUGAGUAAUGCAUCGGAACGUAUCCUGGAGUGGGGGAUAACGUAGCGAAAGUUACGCUAAUACCGCAUAUUCUGUGAGCAGGAAAGCGGGGGACCUUCGGGCCUCGCGCUCUUGGAGCGGCCGAUGUCGGAUUAGCUAGUUGGUGAGGUAAAGGCUCACCAAGGCGACGAUCCGUAGCAGGUCUGAGAGGAUGAUCUGCCACACUGGAACUGAGACACGGUCCAGACUCCUACGGGAGGCAGCAGUGGGGAAUUUUUGGACAAUGGGGGCAACCCUGAUCCAGCCAUGCCGCGUGAGUGAAGAAGGCCUCGGUUGUAAAG